RNAcentral lists this ribosomal RNA (524 nucleotides) under uncultured bacterium. RNAcentral describes it as "bacterial SSU rRNA". It matches the Rfam family "Bacterial small subunit ribosomal RNA", at positions 777 to 1299 of the family's 1533-position model. The record is from RNAcentral.
AAUAGAUACCCAGGUAGUCCACGCUGUAAACGAUGGAUGCUAGGUGUAGGGAGGUAUCGACCCCUUCUGUGCCGGAAUCAACACAAUAAGCAUCCCGCCUGGGGAGUACGGCCGCAAGGUUGAAACUCAAAGGAAUUGACGGGGGCCCGCACAAGCAGCGGAGCAUGUGGUUUAAUUCGAAGCAACGCGAAGAACCUUACCAGGUCUUGACAUCGACGGAAGCAUCAGAGAUGAUGUGUGCCCUUCGGGGACCGGAAGACAGGUGGUGCAUGGUUGUCGUCAGCUCGUGUCGUGAGAUGUUGGGUUAAGUCCCGCAACGAGCGCAACCCUUGUUGUCAGUUACUAACGCGUAAUGGCGAGGACUCUGACGAGACUGCCGGGGACAACUCGGAGGAAGGUGGGGACGACGUCAAAUCAUCCUGCCCCUUAUGACCUGGGCUACACACGUGCUACAAUGGCCACUACAAAGAGGAGCGAGGUCGCAAGACGGAGCGGAUCUGGAAAAAGUGGUCUCAGUUCAGAUC